UCCAGUAAAAAAUGCCCUCAUCCAGGUGUUCUCCAACACCAAUUUUCCUCUGUCACUUGCUGAGGGAGCCUUAGGAACCUGGGCUCAGUGGCUCACCUGUGUUCAGGGGGAGCAAUUUCCUGGCAGGGAGGAUGAAGAGGAUUCCUUAUAUAUUAUCAGAAAAAGGUUUAAUUUAAACAUGGCAGAAAAAUCCCUGAGUUCCAGCACAGUGAGACAUGAGAAGAGACUGAUUGUGGCAUUUUCAGAGCUGUGUCUAAGCCCUGUCAAAGAGGGCUAGGGGGGAUGAAGCUGUUCUGUGGAAAGAGUGGAUCUGGAUCAUUUCUCCCUGUCCUGCCAUGCCCAGCUUCCACAGCUGAAAAGAAACCCACUGACCCUGGCCUGAUAGGUGAGUAGGUUUUUUCCACAACUGAUUGGCAUUGCUUUUCCUGGUGGUGCUGUGACAGCCUUUGGGAUCAGAUGGAUUUCUGCCCUACCUGCUGCUGUCAAGGCACUUGACGAGGCUUUACCAGUCAGAGCAAGGCUGGGGAGGAUUUGCAGAACACGGAGUGUCAUCUGCAGAGCCCCCCACCUCCUCCCAACACUGCUCCUGCAUGACUGCCCAGAUGGAUUUGAACUGCAGCAAUUUAGAUUUUAAAAGAUGGCAUCACAUCCACUCCUGAACACACCUCAGGGUGAUUUUACAGACAUGAUGUAACAGAAAAGACAGAGUCACACAGGAAGGCCAGCCCCAGGUGUCAGGGACACGUCACAGCUGGGGUUUUCUGUGCUGCCUGCACGGAAAGCAGAGGUUUCAUGAUGACCACGUGUGAACAACAACCACCACACUCCAUCCAUCCCACUGAUGAGGCAGGUGAGAAUUAGAUCCCAUUGGAAAACUAAUAUUUACUCAGCUCCCUGCUGGGCAGCUCUGCCUGGCAUUGCUUGGAGUGCAAACGGAGUUUCUAUGGUGGUUCCUGGCACCCAGCACAGCUUCACUCUUCCCACAGGGUAAAUUGGCACA
Vidua macroura (Pin-tailed whydah) is the source of this 1000-nucleotide long non-coding RNA. RefSeq lists it as uncharacterized. Lineage: Eukaryota; Metazoa; Chordata; Aves; Passeriformes; Viduidae. The record is from RefSeq and is a predicted model, not a curated record. The transcript has 4 exons.